GGGCAGGUGGUGGAAUCGGCAGACACGUACGUUUGAGGGGCGUAUGCCGCAAGGCGUGGGGGUUCAAAUCCCCCCCUGCCCACCA
The sequence is a transfer RNA, 85 nucleotides long. It matches the Rfam family "tRNA". Rfam says of the family: Transfer RNA (tRNA) molecules are approximately 80 nucleotides in length.